CCUACGGGGCGCAGCAGUGGGGAAUAUUGGGCAAUGGGCGCAAGCCUGACCCAGCAACGCCGCGUGAAGGAAGAAGGCUUUCGGGUUGUAAACUUCUUUUAUGAGGGACGAAACAAAUGACGGUACCUCAUGAAUAAGCCACGGCUAACUACGUGCCAGCAGCCGCGGUAAUACGUAGGUGGCAAGCGUUAUCCGGAAUUACUGGGUGUAAAGGGAGCGCAGGCGGGACUGCAAGUUGGAUGUGAAAUACCGCAGCUUAACUGCGGAGCUGCAUCCAAAACUGUAGUUCUUGAGUGGAGUAGAGG
RNAcentral lists this ribosomal RNA (305 nucleotides) under uncultured bacterium. RNAcentral describes it as "bacterial SSU rRNA". It matches the Rfam family "Bacterial small subunit ribosomal RNA", at positions 338 to 657 of the family's 1533-position model. The record is from RNAcentral.